This 329-nucleotide unclassified non-coding RNA is filed under the name soil metagenome. Its description in RNAcentral is "partial contains 5.8S ribosomal RNA, internal transcribed spacer 2, and large subunit ribosomal RNA". The stretch from base 1 to 120 matches the Rfam family "5.8S ribosomal RNA", at positions 35 to 154 of the family's 154-position model. The record is from RNAcentral.
GAUGAAGAACGUAGUGAAAUGCGAUAAGUAGUGUGAAUUGCAGAAUUCAGUGAAUCAUCGAAUCUUUGAACGCACAUUGCGCCCCUUGGUAUCCCGAGGGGCAUGCCUGUUCGAGCGUCAUUUCACCACUCAAGCCUGGCUUGGUGUUGGGCGACGUCCUCUUUGGGGACGCGCCUCGAAACGCUCGGCGGCGUGGCACCGGCUUUAAGCGUAGCAGAAUCUUUCGCUUUGGAAGUCGGGGCCCCGUCUGCCGGAAGACCUGCUCGCAAGGUUGACCUCGGAUCAGGCAGGGAUACCCGCUGAACUUAAGCAUAUCAAUAAGCGAAGGA